This 2867-nucleotide long non-coding RNA is filed under the name Gallus gallus (chicken). Its description in RNAcentral is "lncRNA (ENSGALG00010002846.1)". Lineage: Eukaryota; Metazoa; Chordata; Aves; Galliformes; Phasianidae. The record is from RNAcentral.
UAGAAUUUUUCCUAUUCUUUUCAGAAUAUACAGGCUAAGCUGUUAUUAUUCACUUUUCCAUUUUUAGAAUUGACGAUUAAAUUGCACAGCACUACUGUGUUGUACCAAUUAAAAUAACUACUGUCUAUUUGGCAGUCCUUUAAUGGGAAAUGAAAUUCACUUUUAGGCAUAUAUCACGGUAAUACAUAUAUCAUAUGGUAUACAAUUUAGAUCAUUUUGGAAGACAGUAGCUGUAUUAGUUCGUAUUCCCCUACCUAGUCCUGGUUACGAGCAUCAAUUUUGUUAAUUAAGAAUUUUAAACCCUGUGAAUUUAUAGUACAAUUAUGUUUUACUUCAUAAGUAGGUCUUUACCCCUCUACAACUAUUAACAAAAUGUCCACUUAUAUUAUUUGCUGACGGUUUCAAGGGCUGAUGAAUUUUGUAUGAAGAUUUGCCCUUUUUUCUAAGCUUUGCUCACUGCACAUCAGCUGUUUGUCAGCAAAACAUAACAGUGAAGACUUCUGACUUAAAUCUUUUUUUUUUUUUUUUUUUUAAAGAAAAGCCAAUUCAUCAGGUAGGAAAGACUGCUGCUCACACUCUCGAGUCCUGCCAAAGACAAAUGACUGUAAAAAUUUAAAAUCAAUCAUUAACAGAUUAGCUGUUGGUCCAAAGUAAAUAGCAAUCAGCUUAUUAGGCAUCAGGCAGAGUGAGAUAAAGGGGAAGAGUUAUUGAAAAUGAGGAUGUUUGCUGGGGCUGUGCUGAUGGAGCAGAACAAGGAAAGGCUGUUUCUUUGUUGCUCUAAUUACAAAUGGAAAAUAACCUACAGUGCUGAACAAGUUGAGCUCCCUAGCUGAAUUGAAUGGAGCAUAGUGCUUAUGUUCUACGUCAUGGAUUGAUUUAUCUUGAUUAUCAGUAGUUUGCACUACUUCUUCCCCUCCCCAGAAGGACCGGUUUGGCAUUCUCUUAUACUGAAGUAAAUGAAAUUUUUUGGCUCUGAAAAGAAUGAGGUGGGAGAGGGGCUUGCCACAGUAGAAAUGCCCUUCUCGUACAAAACUCUAAUUCUCACACAGGAAAUACUUCUCAAAUGAUGGAAUUUUGUUUGUGACAGGGUUUCAUUAUGGUAAAGCAACAAAUUGCUGGUGACUAAAUCACAGUCGGCUCUGUGCCGCCGUUGUAUUCAGACAUGAUGAAAUUCUGCAAAGCAGAUCAAUUCAGAAGAGCAGGGAUGUUGCAAGAGGAAACCGGGAGGGAGAAAAAGGCUGAGAAGACAGAAACAAUCAGAGUCGGGUAGGAAGCGAAGCUGGCGGGGAUGAAGAAGAAAACAAUAGCUGAGAGUAAAAUGAGAUGAGGAAGCAGAAAACACAAAAAAGUGAAGUAGGAAGUAGGAGGAAAUGGGUGCAAGUUAAAGUCGAUGACAAAAGCUCUCUUUCAUCAGGUAAACACUGAAGUGUUUACAUAGAGAGUAACUGACCAUGAGAAUGAUUUACUGCAGCUAUUUCUUCCUUACCAGGCACGUUAAAUCCAGGAAAAGAAGAGUCAGCUGAAAUGACAAAGUAGCAGAAGUCUCUUUUCCACAUACUGAAAUGGCUGAAUAAGCUACACAGAGCAGAAAUGACUUUCCUGCCUGCGAUUUGCAGAGUCCCAGGACAGCAGCUCACACCUGGGGGCGACAGAGCUGUGGCAGUCUGUCAUCUUUGAGCUAUUUUCUCUAUGCACCGAGAAGGAGAGCGGUGAUGCUGCCUUCUGUCUAUGACAGGAAUUGUUUGAAUUAUUUACAAUGAACGGAAAGACAGCUGGGGGGAGAGGAUGGAGAGGCUGGUGCAAUUCUAUAGACAUUGAUCCUGCCGGGAAAAAGAGCAAACUGACUUGCAAUACAAAUGGCGGUGUUGCAAAUGUGAAAGGAAGACCAUUUUCCAAUGUCACUUUCACAAGCUAAAAGAAGUCUCCAUACGUAUUAUGCAUAAGUGAAUGCACAUAGGUGUCCCAGAAGUUCAAGAUGGUUCCUUGUUUUCUUCGUUUCCUACUUAGUUCUCUUUCCAAUGGAAGCUGUGCAGUGGACUUUGAUCUUUUGCAAGAUUUCUCUUCCUGAAGAAAGGUGCCGGUUUAUUACCAAACCGCUUGUAAGAACAGAUCAAAGGCAGAGGAAGAGUGGGGGCUGCAGUCUGGCCAGCUGCUGUGAUGUUCUACAGAAAAUCAAGGACGAUAUCCACAGGACCUGCGAUGUAUCAAGCCAGCUCUUAGUAACAGAGGAAGGCCAAGAGUAGUUGACAAUAAGACUGUAAAGAAACAGUUAUGCUGGUGACACUUCUUAUAUGAGGACUGCCUUCCUAUUUUUCCACAAACGUAUUCCUGUUAUACAGUUUUUUGUUCUUUUAAUUAAGCACUGCAGGAGAAAAUAAUGGGAUCUUAAAGCCUCAUGUAUUUUGGAAAAGGUAGUAGUAAAUUGUACAGUUUUGACCUUUUCAGCUUUUUGUAAUUUGAUUGGCUGUCUGUUCUUUUUCCUCCACUAUUUACAGCUGCAGUGAACUGUGCAGAAGGGGUAGGAUGGCUAGCCAGCUCAAAUGCAGAAUAUUUAAAAGGUUAAAAUGUGCAACAUACUGGUGCCUUCCACAGAGUGUAUGGGCAUUAUAAAUUUCGUUGCGUUGAUCACAUAAAGGAUUGAGAAAUUAAAUGACUUCAUGAAUCAUUUUUUGUGGGACAACAAAUGUGACCAAAAUGGGGAAAAAUGGUAUCACUUUGACCCCAGAUCUGGGAAGCAUAUUUUUUUGUAUGUUUAUUAUUUCUGCUGCGGUAAUAAGUGAAGACCCCCUCUGAAGCACAGCAUCAUUUUAGCAGGCACUGAAUAUGUACAAGUGAGACAAAGACAAGCCCUGCCCCAGAAAGCGUGC